Molecule: ribosomal RNA, 406 nt
Filed under: uncultured bacterium
Lineage: Bacteria
Description: partial 16S ribosomal RNA
Rfam family: Bacterial small subunit ribosomal RNA
Source: RNAcentral
AUUGAACGCUGGCGGCAGGCCUAACACAUGCAAGUCGAACGAGUGGCGGAGGGAGGAGUCAUGUCUGGGAAACUGCCCGAGGGACGUGGCUAACUACUGGAAACGGUAGCUGAUACCGCGUACCAUCGGAUGUGCCCAGAUGGGAUUAGCUUGUAGGUGAGGUACCGGCUCACGUAGGCAACGAUCCCUAGCUGGUCUGAGAGGAUGACCAGCCACACUGGAACUGAGACAGGGUCAAGACUCCUACGCGAGGCAGCAGUGGGGAAUAUUGCGCAAUGGGCGAAAGCGUGAUGCAGCACUGCCGCGUGUAUGAAGAAGGCCUUCGGGUUGGAAAGUACUGUCAGCGGGGAGGCGUUACCCGCAGAAGAAGCACCGGCUAACUCCGUGCCAGCAGCCGCGGUAAUAC